RNAcentral lists this ribosomal RNA (442 nucleotides) under uncultured Hyphomicrobiaceae bacterium. RNAcentral's name for it is "bacterial SSU rRNA". It matches the Rfam family "Bacterial small subunit ribosomal RNA", at positions 337 to 796 of the family's 1533-position model. Lineage: Bacteria; Pseudomonadati; Pseudomonadota; Alphaproteobacteria; Hyphomicrobiales; Hyphomicrobiaceae. The record is from RNAcentral.
UCCUACGGGGGGCAGCAGUGGGGAAUAUUGGACAAUGGGCGCAAGCCUGAUCCAGCCAUGCCGCGUGAGUGAUGAAGGCCCUAGGGUUGUAAAGCUCUUUCAGCGAGGAGGAUAAUGACGUUACUCGCAGAAGAAGCCCCGGCUAACUUCGUGCCAGCAGCCGCGGUAAUACGAAGGGGGCUAGCGUUGUUCGGAAUCACUGGGCGUAACGCGCACGUAGGCGGACUUUUAAGUCAGGGGUGAAAUCCCGGGGCUCAACCUCGGAACUGCCUUUGAGACUGGAAGUCUGGAGUCCGAGAGAGGUGAGUGGAACUCCGAGUGUAGAGGUGAAAUUCGUAGAUAUUCGGAAGAACACCAGUGGCGAAGGCGGCUCACUGGCUCGGUACUGACGCUGAGGUGCGAAAGCGUGGGGAGCAAACAGGAUUAGAUACCCUAGUAGUCC